UACAGAGGUAUCAAGCGUUGUUCGGAUUCAUUGGGCGUAAAGGGUGCGUAGGCGGGGUUUUAAGGCAGGGGUGAAAUCCUGGAGCUCAACUCCAGAACUGCCUUUGAUACUGAAGAUCUUGAGUCCGGAAGAGGUGAGUGGAACUCCGAGUGUAGAGGUGAAAUUCGUAGAUAUUCGGAAGAACACCAGUGGCGAAGGCGGCUCACUGGCCCGGUACUGACGCUGAGGUGCGAAAGCGUGGGGAGCAAACAGG
RNAcentral lists this ribosomal RNA (253 nucleotides) under uncultured bacterium. RNAcentral describes it as "partial 16S ribosomal RNA". It matches the Rfam family "Bacterial small subunit ribosomal RNA", at positions 524 to 776 of the family's 1533-position model. The record is from RNAcentral.